GAAAUCUAUUUAGGUAGAGCGUCACGAUUAGACUCUGGGGGGUAGAGCACUGAAUGGGCUAGGGGUCCUCACCGGAUUACCAAACCUUAUCAAACUCCGAAUACCAAGAAGUACUAAUCGGCAGACACACGGCGGGUGCUAACGUCCGUCGUGGAGAGGGAAACAACCCUGACCACCAAUUAAGGUCCCCAAAUAAUGGCUAAGUGUGAAAGGAUGUGGGAUUGCUUUGACAAUGAGGAGGUUGGCUUAGAAGCAGCCAUCCUUUAAAGAAAGCGUAACAGCUCACUCAUCAAGCGAUCCUGCGCCGAAAAUGUAACGGGGCUAAAGCCAUACACCGAAGUCGCGGGCUCGCAAGAGCGGUAGCAGAGCGUUCCGCAAGUCAGUGAAGGGAUACCCGCGAGGGAUCCUGGAGAUACCGGAAGUGCGAAUGUUGACAUGAGUAACGAUAAAGGGGGUGAGAGACCCCCUCGCCGAAAGUCCAAGGGUUCCUGCUUAAAGCUAAUCUGAGCAGGGUGAGCCGGCCCCUAAGGCGAGGCCGAAAGGCGUAGUCGAUGGGAACCAGGUUAAUAUUCCUGGGCC
This 579-nucleotide ribosomal RNA is filed under the name Alexandrium margalefii. Its description in RNAcentral is "partial Bacterial large subunit ribosomal RNA". It matches the Rfam family "Bacterial large subunit ribosomal RNA", at positions 861 to 1445 of the family's 2925-position model. The record is from RNAcentral. Lineage: Eukaryota; Dinophyceae; Gonyaulacales; Pyrocystaceae.